UCCAGCUAGUAGAAAAGCCGAUUGCGUGGGUGCCUUCUCAAUGUGACCUGGCUUCUGGCCUGACCUCACAGACCCUCAAACUUUUGGCAUCAUUGUUAUAAUGGUGAAAGUUUGGUCACAUUCUGGAUUGCUUUAAGUAGCUCCAAACUAAUCCCUCCCAUAUUUUUCCACAGAGAAGCAACCUUAAUGUAAAGCAGACCUGGUCCUGAGGUAGAAGAAUUCUUUAUUGCAGCCUGCAGUGCACGUGGACUGAUACAUAUAUUUUUAGUGGGGGAUACGAAGAGGAAGGUAUCAGGGACCUAUUACAACUUUUUUCCUCCCCUUUGUCUUGCUUCAUUCUUGAGCACACCAAUGCAGAUGGAUGCCAUUAGAAUGAUGUUAACCUAGAAUAUGCACAGCUUGCCUGCAAGACUGGGACUAAUACUAACUAUUUAUAUUGUGCUUUUCAUCUUCAAAAUGAUCUACAAAUAUGAAUUCUCUCAACAUCUCUCUGAAAUAGCAUAGGUGGAGUUUACACUGAAGGGCUGCAGCAGUGCAGUUGUUCCAUUGUAGUGUUUUCAGCAUGGACAUACCCUUUAGAGAAAAUAGGAAAUCAAAACCUUAUUGUGUGCUUAAGUAACUGGAAAAACCUGUUUUGGAAAGCAGAUCUGCAACACUUAAUAAGAUGGUUGAGUGAGAGAAGAAGUAACUCAUCUUUCUCUGGACCAGCAGCAGGAGGAGAUUCUCUAACAAAACAAUAUCAGAACAAGAGCAUGUUUUUUAGACAUGAAGUUCACGCUUUACUCUGUAAUGAAGAUGAAAAUAUCUUAUGUACUUUAUUUUAUGGGAGAUGUUAAGCAAAACAUUUCUCCUUGCCUUUAUUCAAUCUUGUUUUUGUUAGGAUUACUGUUGUAUAGAUAAAUUGGGUAUAGAUAUCCCCAAAUACAAGCGAACUUAAACAAUUUCUGGAACAUAAACUCUCCUUUGUUUUGGUCAAGAAGCCCAUCUUGACAUAUUCAAGUUUGGUAGGGGCACAGGAUCAGUUAUAUUGGUUUUAUCCCAGUUGAGGGUCCUCUGCUUACCCACCACUGGAAUUUCCACUUGGCCAACCACCUCCAGAUUCUCCCUCUUCUAUGCUGUGUGGGACAGAGAAACUGGCCUCCAACAAUCAAUUUGGAGAAAAGGAAAGUUUCAGAUUUUGUUUUGCUUUUGUUUUUUUCUUUUAAUUAUUCACAAUUGUAGAUGAAGUCAUGGAAAUGAUGGGCAGAGAAGUUCAUAAAAAAAUUGCAUGGGAAAUUACAGCUGGAAAAGGUUAUUACAUUUCUAUGGCUUGCACGUCCUCAGCGAUCAACAUCAACUAUCCUAUUUUACUUUACAAUCGUAUAAGUAAGUGCAUCUGGACCAAUUAAUCAGUUAUUGUUAUUUAGUAAUUUAAAAAAUGCAAAAGCCUAAUGGAGCUGGAAAACAUUGUUAUUUUCUUGGAAGACUUAAGAAUAAACAUCUCUGAUUGAAGAGGGCAAAGAUGCUCUAACAUUCUAACCAGAGCCAUACAACUACCUAAGGACUGAAUGACAAAACCACUUGUGUGUUCACUGCAAAACCAACAGGUGUUUCAGCCAAUUUCUGUUCUAUUCUUCAGUUUUGUCAAGCAGUUGUACUACUUUAAAAUCUAAGAUGUGAUGACAAUCUGUGCAAGCAUUUAGAAAUGAGAUAAAAGUCAGGAAACUAUUUGGACUGGUCUUCCCAAGGCACCUUUGAAGCUCCUUAUAUGAAUCUACUCAAAGAGUUUUUCCCAAAUCAUUCUCAGAUGGUCAAGUGUGCAACCACCAAAAAUGAUCUGUAAUUUCACUCUGAAGCCCCAUUGUUCUACAACCUUCUAUGUGAAUUCUGGGAAAGCACAAAAGGAAAGUGCUCAUAAUACUAGGUUCGGUGCAGCACCACCAAUUUAUACAAGCGGAAGAUUCUGGAUUUCUGUUAGUUUUUAAAAACGCAUUGAACAUUUGCUUGAAAGACCUUUUUUAUAACCUAACGUGAUAGACAUGGUGAUUUAUGUUUGUAGUUAAUUGCCUUACCUUACCCAUCAUUUCUGAUUCUCACAUCACUGAGGCCUUUGGAGAGUAAGGUACAAGGGUAAGAACACUAGUUUAAGAUUUGACAGACCUAGGCUCAAGUGUCUGUUCUGCUAGACUUUCUGUGUGACAUUGUGCAAGUCACUUAGCCUCUGUGCCUCAGUUCCCAGUAAAAUUGAGUGAUUAGCAUUUUCCUAACUCAGAGAGAUAUUGCAAGGAUAAGUACAUUAAAGAUGGCAAAGAGCUCAUAUACUACUAUGAUAAUAGAUAAUAGGGACCCUAUAGUUCUUAAGUUAGUGUAUGUCUACACACUAGCACAUACCUUGAAGAUGGCAAAGAGCUCAUAUACUACUGUUAUAACAGGUAAUAGGGACCCUAUAGUUCCUAAGUUAGUGUAUGUCUACACACUAGCACAGUGAUCUCCAACCUUUUUACACCCAAGAUCACUUUUUAAGUCUCAGA
Molecule: non-coding RNA, 2510 nt
Organism: Pelodiscus sinensis (Chinese soft-shelled turtle)
Lineage: Eukaryota; Metazoa; Chordata; Testudines; Trionychidae
Source: RefSeq, a predicted model, not a curated record